CCUACGGGAGGCAGCAGUGAGGAAUGUUGGUCAAUGGACGCAAGUCUGAACCAGCCAUGCCGCGUGCAGGAAGACGGCCCUAUGAGUUGUAAACUGCUUUUGUACGAGGGUAAACGCAGAUACGCGUAUCUGUCUGAAAGUAUCGUACGAAUAAGGACCGGCUAACUCCGUGCCAGCAGCCGCGGUAAUACGGAGGAUUCCAGCGUUAUCCGGAUUUAUUGGGUUUAAAGGGUGCGUAGGCGGUCGGAUAAGUUAGAGGUGAAAUCCCGAGGCUCAACUUCGGAAUUGCCUUUGAUACGGUUCGGCUUGAGAGUAGUUGCGGUAGGCGGAAUGUAUGGUGUAGCGGUGAAAUGCUUAGAGAUCAUACAGAACACCGAUUGCGAAGGCAGCUUACCAAGCUACUUCUGACGUUGAGGCACGAAAGCGUGGGGAGCAAACAGGAUUAGAUACCCUAGUAGUC
This 460-nucleotide ribosomal RNA is filed under the name uncultured bacterium. RNAcentral's name for it is "partial 16S ribosomal RNA". It matches the Rfam family "Bacterial small subunit ribosomal RNA", at positions 338 to 795 of the family's 1533-position model. The record is from RNAcentral.